UGUAUAAUGGGUCAGCGACUUAUAUUCUGUAGCAAGGUUAACCGAAUAGGGGAGCCGAAGGGAAACCGAGUCUUAACUGGGCGUUAAGUUGCAGGGUAUAGACCCGAAACCCGGUGAUCUAGCCAUGGGCAGGUUGAAGGUUGGGUAACACUAACUGGAGGACCGAACCGACUAAUGUUGAAAAAUUAGCGGAUGACUUGUGGCUGGGGGUGAAAGGCCAAUCAAACCGGGAGAUAGCUGGUUCUCCCCGAAAGCUAUUUAGGUAGCGCCUCGUGAAUUCAUCUCCGGGGGUAGAGCACUGUUUCGGCAAGGGGGUCAUCCCGACUUACCAACCCGAUGCAAACUGCGAAUACCGGAGAAUGUUAUCACGGGAGACACACGGCGGGUGCUAACGUCCGUCGUGAAGAGGGAAACAACCCAGACCGCCAGCUAAGGUCCCAAAGUCAUGGUUAAGUGGGAAACGAUGUGGGAAGGCCCAGACAGCCAGGAUGUUGGCUUAGAAGCAGCCAUCAUUUAAAGAAAGCGUAAUAGCUCACUGGUCGAGUCGGCCUGCGCGGAAGAUGUAACGGGGCUAAACCAUGCACCGAAGCUGCGGCAGCGACGCUUAUGCGUUGUUGGGUAGGGGAGCGUUCUGUAAGCCUGUGAAGGUGUGCUGUGAGGCAUGCUGGAGGUAUCAGAAGUGCGAAUGCUGACAUAAGUAACGAUAAAGCGGGUGAAAAGCCCGCUCGCCGGAAGACCAAGGGUUCCUGUCCAACGUUAAUCGGGGCAGGGUGAGUCGACCCCUAAGGCGAGGCCGAAAGGCGUAGUCGAUGGGAAACAGGUUAAUAUUCCUGUACUUGGUGUUACUGCGAAGGGGGGACGGAGAAGGCUAUGUUGGCCGGGCGACGGUUGUCCCGGUUUAAGCGUGUAGGCUGGUUUUCCAGGCAAAUCCGGAAAACCAAGGCUGAGGCGUGAUGACGAGGCACUACGGUGCUGAAGUGACAAAUGCCCUGCUUCCAGGAAAAGCCUCUAAGCAUCAGGUAACAUCAAAUCGUACCCCAAACCGACACAGGUGGUCAGGUAGAGAAUACCAAGGCGCUUGAGAGAACUCGGGUGAAGGAACUAGGCAAAAUGGUGCCGUAACUUCGGGAGAAGGCACGCUGAUAUGUAGGUGAAGCGACUUGCUCGUGGAGCUGAAAUCAGUCGAAGAUACCAGCUGGCUGCAACUGUUUAUUAAAAACACAGCACUGUGCAAACACGAAAGUGGACGUAUACGGUGUGACGCCUGCCCGGUGCCGGAAG
This 1281-nucleotide ribosomal RNA is filed under the name Escherichia coli. RNAcentral's name for it is "partial 23S ribosomal RNA". It matches the Rfam family "Bacterial large subunit ribosomal RNA", at positions 609 to 1875 of the family's 2925-position model. The record is from RNAcentral. Lineage: Bacteria; Pseudomonadati; Pseudomonadota; Gammaproteobacteria; Enterobacterales; Enterobacteriaceae.